RNAcentral lists this ribosomal RNA (341 nucleotides) under Theileria cf. velifera A. RNAcentral describes it as "SSU rRNA". It matches the Rfam family "Eukaryotic small subunit ribosomal RNA", at positions 529 to 907 of the family's 1831-position model. Lineage: Eukaryota; Apicomplexa; Aconoidasida; Piroplasmida; Theileriidae. The record is from RNAcentral.
ACCUCUUCCAGAGUAUCAAUUGGAGGGCAAGUCUGGUGCCAGCAGCCGCGGUAAUUCCAGCUCCAAUAGCGUAUAUUAAAAUUGUUGCAGUUAAAAAGCUCGUAGUUGAAUUUCUGCUGCAUUGCCCUUUCUCCUAUACGAGCUUGGGCCUUGUGGCUUAUCUGGGUUCGCUUGCGUUCCCGGUGUUUUACUUUGAGAAAAUUAGAGUGCUCAAAGCAGGCUUUUGCCUUGAAUAGUUUAGCAUGGAAUAAUAAAGUAGGACUUUGGUUCUAUUUUGUUGGUUUUAGGUACCAAAGUAAUGGUUAAUAGGAACAGUUGGGGGCAUUCGUAUUUAACUGUCA